CAGCCGCCACGGGAAUACGUAGGUGGCAAGCGUUGUCCGGAAUUAUUGGGCGUAAAGGGCUCGCAGGCGGUUUCUUAAGUCUGAUGUGAAAGCCCCCGGCUCAACCGGGGAGGGUCAUUGGAAACUGGGAAACUUGAGUGCAGAAGAGGAGAGUGGAAUUCCACGUGUAGCGGUUAAAUGCGUAGAGAUGUGGAGGAACACCAGUGGCGAAGGCGACUCUCUGGUCUGUAACUGACGCUGAGGAGCGAAAGCGUGGGGAGCGAACAGGAUUAGAUACCCCGGUAGUCCCUGUCUCUUAUAC
This 301-nucleotide ribosomal RNA is filed under the name uncultured bacterium. RNAcentral's name for it is "partial 16S ribosomal RNA". It matches the Rfam family "Bacterial small subunit ribosomal RNA", at positions 509 to 807 of the family's 1533-position model. The record is from RNAcentral.